Molecule: ribosomal RNA, 459 nt
Filed under: uncultured bacterium
Lineage: Bacteria
Description: partial 16S ribosomal RNA
Rfam family: Bacterial small subunit ribosomal RNA
Source: RNAcentral
CCUACGGGAGGCAGCAGUGAGGAAUAUUGGUCAAUGGCCGAGAGGCUGAACCAGCCAAGUCGCGUGAGGGAAGAAUGUCCUAUGGAUUGUAAACCUCUUUUGUCAGGGAGCAAAGUCACCCACGUGUGGGUGUUGGAGAGUACCUGAAGAAAAAGCAUCGGCUAACUCCGUGCCAGCAGCCGCGGUAAUACGGAGGAUGCGAGCGUUAUCCGGAUUUAUUGGGUUUAAAGGGUGCGUAGGCGGGUUAUCAAGGCAGCGGUAAAAUCGUGGGGCUCAACUCCAUCCAGCCGUUGAAACUGGUGAGCUUGAGUGGGCGAGAAGUAUGCGGAAUGCGUGGUGUAGCGGUGAAAUGCAUAGAUAUCACGCAGAACUCCGAUUGCGAAGGCAGCAGACCGGCGCCCGACUGACGCUGAAGCACGAAAGCGUGGGUAUCGAACAGGAUUAGAUACCCGGGUAGUC